Molecule: ribosomal RNA, 491 nt
Filed under: uncultured bacterium
Lineage: Bacteria
Description: bacterial SSU rRNA
Rfam family: Bacterial small subunit ribosomal RNA
Source: RNAcentral
GAUGAACGCUAGCGGCAGGCUUAAUACAUGCAAGUCGUGGGGCAGCAUGACUGUAGCAAUACAGUUGAUGGCGACCGGCAAACGGGUGCGGAACACGUACACAACCUUCCUUUAAGUGGGGAAUAGCCCAGGGAAACUUGGAUUAAUACCCCGUAACAUGGUGAGAGGGCAUCUUCUUACUAUUAUAGCAGCAAUGCGCUUAAUGAUGGGUGUGCGUCUGAUUAGGUAGUUGGCGGGGUAACGGCCCACCAAGCCUUCGAUCAGUAACUGGUGUGAGAGCACGACCAGUCACACGGGCACUGAGACACGGGCCCGACUCCUACGGGAGGCAGCAGUAAGGAAUAUUGGUCAAUGGACGCAAGUCUGAACCAGCCAUGCCGCGUGGAGGAUGAAGGUCCUCUGGAUUGUAAACUUCUUUUAUCUGGGAAGAAAAAAGGGAAUUCUUUCCCGUCUGACGGUACCAGAUGAAUAAGCACCGGCUAACUCCGUGC